RNAcentral lists this ribosomal RNA (191 nucleotides) under Salmonella enterica subsp. enterica serovar Senftenberg. Its description in RNAcentral is "partial 23S ribosomal RNA". It matches the Rfam family "Bacterial large subunit ribosomal RNA", at positions 1 to 192 of the family's 2925-position model. The record is from RNAcentral. RNAcentral also lists the same sequence under 42 other names. Lineage: Bacteria; Pseudomonadati; Pseudomonadota; Gammaproteobacteria; Enterobacterales; Enterobacteriaceae.
GGUUAAGCGACUAAGCGUACACGGUGGAUGCCCUGGCAGUCAGAGGCGAUGAAGGGCGUGCUAAUCUGCGAUAAGCGCCGGUAAGGUGAUAUGAACCGUUAUAACCGGCGAUACCCGAAUGGGGAAACCCAGUGUGAUUCGUCACACUAUCAUUAACUGAAUCCAUAGGUUAAUGAGGCGAACCGGGGGAA